RNAcentral lists this ribosomal RNA (414 nucleotides) under Salmonella enterica subsp. enterica serovar Infantis. RNAcentral describes it as "partial 16S ribosomal RNA". It matches the Rfam family "Bacterial small subunit ribosomal RNA", at positions 1 to 411 of the family's 1533-position model. Lineage: Bacteria; Pseudomonadati; Pseudomonadota; Gammaproteobacteria; Enterobacterales; Enterobacteriaceae. The record is from RNAcentral. RNAcentral also lists the same sequence under 5 other names.
AAAUUGAAGAGUUUGAUCAUGGCUCAGAUUGAACGCUGGCGGCAGGCCUAACACAUGCAAGUCGAACGGUAACAGGAAGCAGCUUGCUGCUUCGCUGACGAGUGGCGGACGGGUGAGUAAUGUCUGGGAAACUGCCUGAUGGAGGGGGAUAACUACUGGAAACGGUGGCUAAUACCGCAUAACGUCGCAAGACCAAAGAGGGGGACCUUCGGGCCUCUUGCCAUCAGAUGUGCCCAGAUGGGAUUAGCUUGUUGGUGAGGUAACGGCUCACCAAGGCGACGAUCCCUAGCUGGUCUGAGAGGAUGACCAGCCACACUGGAACUGAGACACGGUCCAGACUCCUACGGGAGGCAGCAGUGGGGAAUAUUGCACAAUGGGCGCAAGCCUGAUGCAGCCAUGCCGCGUGUAUGAAGA